RNAcentral lists this ribosomal RNA (788 nucleotides) under Filenchus vulgaris. Its description in RNAcentral is "partial large subunit ribosomal RNA". It matches the Rfam family "Eukaryotic large subunit ribosomal RNA", at positions 344 to 964 of the family's 3401-position model. The record is from RNAcentral. Lineage: Eukaryota; Metazoa; Nematoda; Chromadorea; Rhabditida; Tylenchidae.
ACUAGUACCGUGAGGGAAAGUUGCAAAGCACUUUGAAGAGAGAGUUAAAGAGGACGUGAAACCGAUAAAGAUGGAAACGGAUAGAGUCAACGUAUCUGGCCUGUAUUCAGCUGCUGUCCGGCGGUCCGGCCUGCCAAACAAACCCGCUUCUGGUUGGUUGGUGGGCCCGCUCCGAUUGCCGGCUAGUAGUGCAUUUGCAGGUGGAGUGCGCUGAGAGAUGUGGUUUGGCGAUUGGAUGCCUAGCUUUGAGGGCACUUCUCUCGGGAAGUAAAUCCCUGGCUGGUGGAUGAUUGUUCGAGCUGCAUUGUUCUGCCCGACGAGAAUGGCCUACGGACUGGGGCGCGCGCACGGCUAUCACUGGUGUCGGUCACAUGUGACACGUGCCUGUUGUUGUCGUGUUCGUGUUCUCGGUUCUCUUUCUCGAUCUCGGUGUAAAAGUUGGUCAUCUAUCCGACCCGUCUUGAAACACGGACCAAGGAGUUUAGCGUAUGCGCGAGUCAUUGAGUGUUGAAAACUCAAAGGCGUAAUGAAAGUGAAUUGUAAAUGAUAUGCGAUCUUUGGCACUGCGGUGUCCUAGAGCAGCAUAGCCCCGUUCCAAUUGCUUGCAAUGGGGCGGAGGUAGAGCGUAUUCGCUGAGACCCGAAAGAUGGUGAACUAUUCCUGAGCAGGAUGAAGCCAGAGGAAACUCUGGUGGAAGUCCGAAGCGGUUCUGACGUGCAAAUCGAUCGUCUGACUUGGGUAUAGCGGCGAAAGACUAAUCGAACUAUCUAGUAGCUGGUUCCUUCCGA